CCUACGGGGGACAGCAGUGAGGAAUAUUGGUCAAUGGGCGGAAGCCUGAACCAGCCAAGUAGCGUGCAGGAUGACGGUCCUACGGGUUGUAAACUGCUUUUAUACGGGAAUAACGCGCCUUACGUGUACGGCUUUGCAUGUACCGUAUGAAUAAGGCCCGGCUAAUUCCGUGCCAGCAGCCGCGGUAAUACGGAAGGUCCGGGCGUUAUCCGGAUUUGUUGGGUUUAAAGGGAGCGUAGGCCGCAUGUCAAGCGUGCGGUGAAAUGUCCGGGCUCAACCCGGGCCUUGCAGCGCGAACUGGCGUGCUUGAGUCCGCGGAAAGUAGGCGGAAUGCGGGGUGUAGCGGUGAAAUGCAUAGAUAUGACGAAGAACCCCGAUUGCGAAGGCAGCUUGCUGCAGCGGAACUGACGCUGAGGCUCGAAAGCGCGGGUAUCGAACAGGAUUAGAUACCCUUGUAGUC
This 460-nucleotide ribosomal RNA is filed under the name uncultured bacterium. RNAcentral's name for it is "partial 16S ribosomal RNA". It matches the Rfam family "Bacterial small subunit ribosomal RNA", at positions 338 to 795 of the family's 1533-position model. The record is from RNAcentral.